Molecule: non-coding RNA, 80 nt
Filed under: Trieres chinensis
Lineage: Eukaryota; Bacillariophyta; Thalassiosirophyceae; Eupodiscales; Parodontellaceae
Source: RNAcentral
CAUCUAUGGCUGUGACCGCGCCUCAGUAUGUCUUGGAGGAGUCGCUUUCAAGUCAAAAGCUUUGGAAACACACAGCUGGC